ACUCCUACGGGAGGCAGCAGUGAGGAAUAUUGGUCAAAUGGGCGCAAGCCUGAACCAGCCAUGUCGCGUGCAGGAAGACUGCCCUAUGGGCUUGUAAAGCUAGCUUUUAUUACGGGAAGAAUGUGACCUACGUGUAGGUUUUGCCGGUACCGUAUGAAUAAGCAUCGGCUAACUCCGUGCCAGCAGCCGCGGUAAUACGGAGGAUGCAAGCGUUAUCCGGAUUCAUUGGGUUUAAAGGGUGCGUAGGCGGAAGUGUAAGUCAGGGGUGAAAGUUUGCAGCUCAACUGUAAAAUUGCCUUUGAUACUGCAUUUCUUGAGUACAUUUGAGGUAGGCGGAAUGUGUUGUGUAGCGGUGAAAUGCUUAGAUAUAACACAGAACACCGAUUGCGAAGGCAGCUUACUAAACUGUAACUGACGCUGAUGCACGAAAGCGU
Molecule: ribosomal RNA, 434 nt
Filed under: uncultured bacterium
Lineage: Bacteria
Description: bacterial SSU rRNA
Rfam family: Bacterial small subunit ribosomal RNA
Source: RNAcentral